This 1168-nucleotide long non-coding RNA is filed under the name Arabidopsis lyrata. Its description in RNAcentral is "long non-coding RNA (ALYR_LNC002907)". The record is from RNAcentral. Lineage: Eukaryota; Viridiplantae; Streptophyta; Magnoliopsida; Brassicales; Brassicaceae.
GAGUGAAGUGGUGAAGAAAAUCUGGGAAACACAGACACAGAGGACAAAUCAUACCUCACCAACAAUAGCCAAUAUUAGAUAUAAAACAAUCUAUAGGAAAAGGUGGAUAGAUCAGAAGUAACCAGAAACACAAAAUUAUACUCAAACCAUCCUUCCCUGCCACAAUGCUUUGACCUCUUAAACGGAGUGAAGUGAUUGGUAAAGAAAAUCUGGGAAACACAGACACAGAGGACAAAUCAUACCUCACCAGCAAUAGCCAAUAUUAGAUAUAAAACAAUCUAUAGGAAAAGGUGGAUAGAUCAGAAGUAACCAGAAACACAAAAUUAUACUCAAACCAUCCUUCCCUGCCACAAUGUUUUGACCUCUUAAACGGAGUGAAGUGAUUGGUAAAGAAAAUCUGGGAAACACAGACACAGCGGACAAAUCAUACCUCACCAACAAUGGCCAAUAUUAGAUAAAACAAUCUAUAGGAAAAAAAAAGUGUAUAGAUGAGAAGUAACCAAAUACACAAAAUUAUACUUAAAACCAUCCAUCCCUCCCACAAUGCCUUGAUCUCUACGAUUUAAAACGAAAAACAUCAGGUAAUAGGGAAAUUCAAAACCCUAAAAAUAAAACAAAGGGAGAUAUAAGACACCGCCAAAGAAGUAACAGGGAGCCACGAUAGAUCAAAGACAUCUUUCAAAACAAACUGAGACAGAACUAGCCUUCUUCGCAUCCUCAAAAACCCUAAAAGAUGGGGGACACUUCACAAAUAAAAACAUCGUCACAAGCAUAUGAGAGUAGGAUCAAACACUAUACAUAGAUUUAACAUACAACAACAGAGAGACCGAGAAAUAGACCAGUUAACCAGGGCGUAUGUUAGAACAAACAGAUUGCAACAGAUCCCGGAGGCAAAGAGGAACAAAACCUGAUAAACCAUAUGAGAGGAGCUAAGACAUAGCAAUACUGAGAAACUUGAAGACGUUCAAUAGAAAAACUACUUACAAAAAAGACAAGCUAUAAGAAAAAAACUCGUCUGGAAGGAAUAUAUGUUCAUCUUUCAUCUGAAUGUGUACACAGCAGAGAAUCUGGAAAACACAACAAGACACAGAGGACAAAAUCAUACCUCACCAACAAUAGCCAAUAUCAUAACUCAGGUGAUAUAAGAACUCUAAAAAAGGAAGCAGAG